UUUAAUUUUAGCCCUACCCUACCU
RNAcentral lists this non-coding RNA (24 nucleotides) under Rattus norvegicus (Norway rat). Lineage: Eukaryota; Metazoa; Chordata; Mammalia; Rodentia; Muridae. The record is from RNAcentral.